GUUUUAAUAGUUUAAAUAAAACAUAAAUUUUGUAAAUUUAAAUUGGAAUUAACCUUAAAAUA
This 62-nucleotide transfer RNA is filed under the name Krisna quadrimaculosus. RNAcentral's name for it is "tRNA-Thr". The record is from RNAcentral. Lineage: Eukaryota; Metazoa; Arthropoda; Insecta; Hemiptera; Cicadellidae.